Molecule: long non-coding RNA, 8022 nt
Organism: Pongo pygmaeus (Bornean orangutan)
Lineage: Eukaryota; Metazoa; Chordata; Mammalia; Primates; Hominidae
Exons: 3
Source: RefSeq, a predicted model, not a curated record
ACUGCGCAUGUCCGAAGGGACGUGUCAAGGGUGGGGCGAGGAGGAGGGGCGGUGCCGAGGGGAGAGGCAGCCCAGAAGGAAAGAGCUGGGCGAGGAGAAGGGGCGGUGGCGAGGGAAGGGGCGGGGCGAGUACCGCUCCAGGAAGAACAGCGUUACUACGGCAACCAUGACAGGGAAAUUAAUGUUAUGACUGGAUAAGACAAUUGUGAAGAAACUGCACUUUGAGACUGUCUAUCUCCAUAUUCUGAUGGAAAAGCGUGGACUUUAGAAGCAUUGCUCACUCCUUCAGUUUCUAACAAGCCAGUUCUUGGAGAUACUAGGAAGCCAAGAGCUUCCUCCAAGAAUGGAGAUUCCUUGGAAGUGAGGUUCACCUUGAGUCAAGAAAGACAAAUCACAUACAGUCAAAGGCAAUUGCCCAGGGUCUCAAGAACAGAGCCAGAAAGAAGAGCUGGGGCCAACGGGAUUGUGGGGGUCCUCUCUCCCACCUGAAAAGCUUCUGCUGCCUGCCGAUCCUCUCGAGAGGAGACGUCUCUGGGCUCUAGCACCUAAAACAGACAAACCUGGGAGGAUGCUUCUCUCUUCUGUGUCACACGUGUCCUGGAGAAAACCCAUGUAUCUGAAUGACCAAAGAAAACUAUGAGAAAAAGUGCAAAAUCUGUGCCAGGCCAUUCAGUGUCUGGCUGGGGCUCUGGGGUGCACAUGCAUUCCAAGAAGACUGAAGGGUGCCAAGCCUGCAGGAACUGUCCAUCAGACCUGCCUCUCACACCUGGAGUAGGACUGCCCAUCCAGCUUCAUGAUGCAGAACUGUCUUUAAAAGGCGACUGCAGAUAUGGAGAGAGGGAAUUCUAGCCCUGAUAGAACACAACCAGCUGUCCUGCUGGGGAAAGCUGCAUCCACCAGUGACAUGCCGCUCAAACUGGCCCAGGACACACUCUUACUACCUAAGGAAUAAGCCCCACAUUUGCUCUUUGUGGGUAAAAGGAGAGGGUGAGAGAGGAGGGGAGUGUCCGCACAGACAUGAGAAGCCUGCAGAUCCAGAUGAUUCCUUGCUGAUCAGAAUAAGAAAGAUCGACUUGUGAAAACCAUGACCCCGUAGCAGAUGAGCUACUAAAGCAGGCUUCAACCAUGUGUCAUCUGGACCCACUGGUGGAGAAGUCUGCCCCGACUCUGUUGAUGGUCUGGGGGAUACCAUUACUGAGACAGAUUUAAGAAAUAAUCUCUACCAGUUGGCGAGAUCUGGAUGGUCACUUCUGCGAGACAGCAGUGUGCUCUUAUCAGCUUUCCACAGGGCAGGCUGUGGAAAUGGUGCUGAGAAGUCCUUUUGUAAAUUGAUUGUCCAUGGCUGCAGACUUACCAUCAAAUGGAAGAAGAUUCCAAGCUCUCAAAGAAAAGGAAAAAGAGAAGGAUGGAACCACAGACUCUGGGAUCCUGCCAGAGCCUAUUUCAGUGCUGCCAGGAGCUCCUCCUCCCCCUGCAGCUCUGGUCCCCGCCUUGGAGCCUCCUUCCAAGGAGUGAGACUACCUUUCUGACUUUUUCUGACCAUAGACACCUUUUCUGACUUUUUCUGUCCUUGGCACCUGCUGAGGACAGCAGACCCAGGGACCCGGGCUCCUGGGCCCAUUCUUGCCCAGCUUCUUCUUGAUCAUGUGACUUGAAGGCAUUCUUGUGCAGUGGAAGCAGGGCCCCAGGACCAUCUGAUAGAUUGAUAGUCUCUGGACUCUGCCCCACUGAUGGUCAGAUGGUGGCCACUCAGGGUGUGAGAGCCCAGCCAUAGCUGUUUCCUUGAGUUGAAGAGGUUGGAGGCUGGUCCACCUGCUCCUAUCCCACCCUGGGCGAUGUGGAUGGUUGCUCUUUGAGCCUGGUAACGUCACUGCCUUGGCCUUGCCAGGCAUGCCCUGCCUUGGGGGGGCCCUGCGUACCCACACACUACUUUAAGGGGCUUGCUCUUCCUUGGGCCAAAUUCUAGUUUUGGCCAGUGCCCCAGGAAGUUCAGUCCCCUGUUUUGUUAUCUUGGCUAUUUCUGGGGCACCCGUGGUUCUCCUGGGUCCAUUUUCUCCUUGGGCUUGGGCUGGGCUGGGCAUCUGUAGGUCUGGGAUGUUUGCCCUUUGAGGGAGGCUCUGUCACACAAGUGGGCAGGCAUGGGGACAUGUGACAGGCUGCUGGCUGGCUAGGGCUCUGCAGAUGCCACAAUCCCCCUCCCCUCCAGCAGCCUCUGAGUCCAGCUUCCCCACUGACACUGAUUUCACCCAGCUCAGGAGCUGAAGGCUGUGCUGCUCAGUGGCCCCUGAGAAAGGUCAGGUCCAGGUGCCACCAUGCAAGGGGAGUGUCUAUGGCCCUACUAUUGGGUUUUCAGUGGGCUGAGCAAGGCCUGGUUGUGGGGGCCCUGAUGGGGUUCAGGGCCAGGGCCUGUCCUAUGGUCCUGGGGGUGUCCAGGGAAGAUGAAAGAACAGGGGUUCAGCAUCCCUGCUCAAAGCUGCACUGUGGACACCAUGAACCCCGGAUGUCCAGGUCCAUGGGGAGAUUGGGAGAGAAUUUCAACACAGAACUCACCAAAAAUCCCAUGGUCUCUCCUGAGAUAGGAACAGACUUGCCACAUCUUGAGCCACUGGGCCCCCAGAGAGUGACCUGCUGUCCUGGGCUCUACGGAAUUCUCAUGCUGCUGGGCCUUGGCCUCAGGUCAGCUUCUGAGCUUCUGGGCUUCUGGAGCUGGGCUGGUGGGCCAGGGAGGGCCAGCCCAUCCCCCUUGGGAAGGGUCUCCAUGCUGAGGGAUGCCACAGAGGCCUGGGUGCCAGAGACACUCGCUCCAGGACCAGGGCCUUCCUAGGGAUCUUUGUAUGUUUAGCUGAAUGGAAAGCAAACUUGGUCCACUUCUCCCCCAAGCCCACCUGACCCUUGUACAGCUGGGCCCCAGGUAUCUGGGUCCUUGGAGUCUUGGGGUCUCUAGUAACCCACCUGGUCUGACACUGAGGAAACAUCUACAGGCUGCUGAUCCCACAGUGAGGGGUGUGUGCUGCCUGGGGUAUGGGCGCUCGUAAGUGAGGGGACCUACUGAUUUCACAGUGAGGGGUGUGUGCCGCCUGGGGUAUGGGUGCUCGUGAGUGAGGGGCCCUACUGAUUUCACAGUGAGGGGUAUGUGCCGCCUGGGGUGUGGGUGCUCAUGAGUGAGGGGCCCUACUGAUUUCACAGUGAGGGGUGUAUGCCGCCUGGGGUAUGGGAACAGAGGGUGGGGACCCCUGUUGCUCUCUGGCCCUGUUGGUGCUCGCAGCUAUGUGUGUGGGCUGGCACAGAUGGGACCAAACCCUCCAGGGCCCUCCAGGGUUCUUCUAGGGCAGGAGGGUAAGGGUGUGGUGGGGGGCUUAGAGGGAUCUUGCCCUCAUCCCCUGCCCUGUUACUCAGGUGAGUCCAACACCUGACCUGGGGCCCAGCUGGCCUGUUUUUAGAAGCUUCUUAGAGAAGGAAGAGGAGGAGGAGGAAGGCCUGGGGAGCAGGGAUGGAGGGUCCUGGGCACUCCCCACUAUUUACUGUCUUAGAUGGUGACUCAGGAAGGGACCUGGUGCUGGAGACCACCUGGGGGGCAGGUCACAGUGCAUCCUUCUGAGCUCAGCCAUGGAGGCCUAAAAGUGCCUGAGAAACACAUCAUCCAGAGCCCAGGUCUGGGACACUGUGUCUUGGGAGAGCUCCCACAGGACAAACAGGAGAGCUUCAGGAGAGGGUCUAGGUUUGGGGCUGGGCGUCAGGCCAGGAGGGUUCUCCUGGGAGGGGUCUGUGCCUUCACCCUGUUUCUGCCCUGUGCACCUUGCACUGGGCAGUGCUGGGUCCUUUCUGGACACCCCUAGGGUCCAGCUCUGCACAGGAGGCAACAGAUACAGGAAGGCCCAGGCAGGGAAGUGCUCGCCACACUCCUGCCUUUCAUCUUAGUUGUGUCAGGGGUGGGUUCAGUUUCCAGGAGGACUCAUGGUGCCCUGUGCAGCCCACCAGAGCUGGAUUGGUUUGGCCCUCCCUCUGGGCUAAAGCAGAGGGUUCUGUGGGCAGUGUGGGCACUGCCCUCGGGCCAGGUUUGAUGUACUUGUGUGCUCCCCCAGCGCCCUCAGGCACAUGGGGACAGGGUUCUGUGCACUUCCAAUGCCACAUGUGCCCUGGCUGUGAGCAUGUGCUUGCCCUGCAGAAGGCAGAUGUACCAGAGCCUCAGGAUGAGCUUGUGAUGAGCUUGAAGUAGGGGUUUGUGGGGACAGCAGGCAUGGGAGGACCUGGUCCUUCAAGGUAGAGGGCUGGUGGCCUGAGCAGGGCCUACUGGGGCCUCAAUCUGUGGUGCUGGGGGUCCCCUAUGUAUGGGGUGAGACCUCCCACAAAAGGCUGGAUCAGAUAAGGUCUUGCAGCUUCUUAUAGGGGUAGUCUCAUCUCCAUCAAAUGUGGCCCCUGAAAGAAGGGGCUCCCCAAGUACUCUCCCAAGAUGAGUCCUGGCCCAGUCUGCCCAGGAUGCUGGCCCUGAGUCCCAGCCCCAGCCGUGUGAUGCCCCCUCUCAGGCAGGGCAUGGUUUGUAUGCCCUGCAGGGACCUGCCUCUGCCUCCUGUGCAGAGGAAGGGAGCUGGGUCCUUCUGGAGGAGCCAGACCCCUCAGCUGGGGAAGCCAGGCCCUGUAGGGCAGCAGGGUCCCUGACCUGGGGUCUCCUGUGCACACUUAUCCCAUCAAUCAAUAACCGUAGAAGCCAUUUUAAGGUGGCAAUCUGGGUACACAACAUUUGCUUGUCUUCACGGAAGGAGCAGAGGUGUUCGGAGUCCCCUGGACUGCCCUGAAAACCUCACUAUUCCAGGCCCCUCUGCAGACCCUUCCCAAGGCCAGAACUCCAGGCAGUAGGCUGGGCUGUCACCCUCUUCUCUGAGACCCUACCCCUGUCCUGAGACCUCCCCAUUGCCCCUCAGAUGCCCCAUCCCUCCGGAUUGCCCACCUCCCCUGGGACCCUCCAUGCCCCACGUGCCUUACUUGAUGCGGCAGCACUCUCUCAACAUGGCGUGGCUUCUGAAGGUGUGGCUCACUUCUAGGUCAUUCUGGUGCACAUUCACUGAGGACAUCUUGGCCUGCUUCAUUUUCUAUAGAGCAGGGCCAAGCCUCAGAACAGAUACAAGACUCACUGUCAAAAUUGCUGUCAUGAAAUAGCGGUUCUUGAAGGAAAGGAGGCUUUUUCUGCAGAAACUUUAUUUCCAAAGCCAGGGAAAGUCAGCAGUGUGCAGCUCACCUGUGUUGCCCAUGCCACUGUCUGCCCAGGAUUUGUGACUGGCCCCUUCCGCCCCCUUGGGGUUGACUUUCCCUCCACCUGGGUAACUGGGCUUCUGACACGGUCCAGCCUAUGCAUCCUGCUCUGGCUGGGACUGGAAGGACCAGACCUGUGUUUCCCUGGGUUCUUGGCCUUCGCCUUCUCGACAUUCAGUAGGGGUGACCAUGCUGGGCCCCAGACCUCUGUGAGGUUUCCUUUGUAGAUCCAAUGAGACAUCUGUGGACAGAAGAAUGCUCUGGUGAGACAGGCCUCAGGGUGACCCCACGGGGGAUCCGAACCUAAGGAUUCUGGAAGCUUCCGGCCUUUGGCUCCACAGUUCCUCAGGAGAGGUUCAGUCUGCCUAGGACUGGGCCUCCCUUCCCAUGAAUAAAGAGUGAGCAAGAGCUCAGGUUGUGAACUCUGAUCAGGAUUUAUUCCUUCCUUUGGGGUGACCAGAAGGUAUUCCUGUUCCUGGCUUAGAAGUGGCCCAGGCCCUGGCAUCAGAUUCCUCCCAGCAAGGUGAUCCUUGCAGGGAUUGGCAGGAGGGCUGGGGACCAGGCCUGUUGUCCUUUUGGUGAGGAAAGUGUACCCUUCUCUGUCUGAGAGGCAGGCAGCACCAGGCAGCAACAAUGGGCAUCUGUCCUAAACCCUAAAGAGUGAUCACGGGGGACACUCACUCACCACUGUGCCUUCUCACUGUUCCUAGAUUUAUUCCAGUUGUUAAGCAUUCAUAACCAUUUAUCUGUGCAUCUGAUGCCCUGAUGUUUUUGCUGUAGAUAAGAAGUGAUGGAGUGAGCUGAGCUGCCAGGCUUCCUGGAGUGAUUCUUGGAUGCUGGGUCAUGUGCUUAGGGGCCCCAAUGUGAACUGGAAGGAGCCAGAAUAGGAGAGAACCCAGCCCCUGAUGAGUGGACACUGGCGGUCUGGCCUCAUGACCACAGGAUACACUGUUCCCAGGGCACAGACACCCUGGGCUUUGGUUGGAUCUUGGCCUCCAGGUAGGGCCCUGGUGGGCAGCAGGCCGCGAUUCCUGAGACACUACUGUGAUUCUCGGUGGUGGCUGUGGUAAAACUCCUGCAGGGCUGGAGUUUAGUGUGAGAUUCAGCAGGAACUGUGGCCUCUCCCAGUGACAAUGUGUCACUCCCACUCACCAGCACCCAUGCCCACAGGCCACGGACUCUGCCUCGCCAAACCCCCACCAAGUCGCACAUCUAUGGAGCAGCUCCCACGCAGCAGGGUCAGGUUCUUACCUCCACCUCCAAGGCACAGACAGGGGCAGCUGUGUCUCAGUGUAAGGCCAUGAGGAGACUGAGGACCUGGACCAGGCUGGGGGCCAUCCCCUUUCCUGAGCAGGCCUCAGGGAAGGACCAGCCCUGUCCUCAUCUGACCCAGGUCUCAGCCCAGGAGCCCACAUAGGGAAGAAAGAACAGAACAGGGCCUCCAUGCUGGCUGACACUCAGGAGGGGCCAGGGCAAUGGAGAAGAGGGAGCACAGGGCCAGGCAGAGGCUGCUUAGGAUCCAUGGGGGCUCAGGCUGCACAAUAGGGCUGCCCCUCCUGGGCUGCAUGCAGCAUCCCCUAUGGGAGCUGAGAAAGUCCAGUCCUGAGAUGGGACAGGGCUGCCCAGGGGUGUGUGGCUGGGCCCUGACAGCAGUCUCCCAAAAUGUGACUAUAUUGCCAGGCUCAGUUCCAGGAAUGCUAAGAAGUGCCCAGUACAGCGAGGAUGCACCUGGAGCCCAUCCUGUCUAAUGGACUCUGACCAUCCCGCAUCCACCUGCCUCUCCUGCAUAUCGGCCACCACCCCUUUCCUUUUCCUCAUUUCUCCAUCGUGUCUGACCCAGAGUCUGUGACCCUCUCUCCAGCCCCAGUGGCCGUUCUUUUCCCUUGUCCUGUCAGAGCCCCUGAUCAAGACUCCCCAGAUCCAUCCACAUGCCUGGCUUGUCCACUUACUAAUUGUGUUGCUCUGCACUGCCGGGGUGGCACCAGAGGCAAUGAGGGUGACUGAGGGCCCCACAGGUGGCCAGCUUUGCCGUUUACCCCAUCCCUAGCCUCAGGGGGUUCUCAUGGCUGUCAGCCAGUGGCCCUGGCUUGGGGGACCUGGCUGUCCUCCUCCCACUGUUCUGACUCAGCCUCGCCCACCUGUCCUCUGUCCGUGGUGCUGACCAAGCCAGCAGGUAGCAGGUCCCCAGAGGGUGCUGCUGGGCUUUGGGGACCCACCGAGGCUCCUCUGCUGAGGGUUCCCAGGUGAGUCGCUGCCACUGGUUCUACAUCAUCUGCUGUCCUCUUCAGCAUCAUCCACCCCACCCCAGGCCGGCUCCAUGCAGGUGCAUCCCCGAGUCACCAGUCUCAGGGCCCUCUGUUGUAGGAUGGAGAUUACUGUACCUUCUGUACACAUUCAUAUUUAUUGUGUGAAAUAAAGUAUAGAAGCUAAAGUAAAUGAGCUUUGGUUUGCAUUUUCCUGAUGAUCACUGAUGUUGAGCACUUGUUAGCCAUUUUUAUAUCUUUUUUAAGAGAUAAAUAUCUAUUCAGGUUCUUUGCUUGUUUUUAAAUCAGGUUAUUAGAUUUUGGUGAGUUUUCUCUCUUCUUUUCUAUUCAGUUGUGUGGCUUCUUAUGUAUUUUGAUUUUCACCCCUUAUGAGAUAUAUUGUUAGCAAAUAUUUUCUCUGAGGUCAUAAGCUGCUUUUUAAUUUCAUUGAUUGAUUUCUCCUGUGCAGAAGCUUUAGGGUUAGAUAUACUCCUACUUGUAUUUUUGUUUUUUGUUGCUUGUGUUUUUAAUG